RNAcentral lists this long non-coding RNA (336 nucleotides) under Hordeum vulgare. RNAcentral describes it as "long non-coding RNA (HVUL_LNC020223)". Lineage: Eukaryota; Viridiplantae; Streptophyta; Magnoliopsida; Poales; Poaceae. The record is from RNAcentral.
CCAUGAUGUAUUUAACUCACUUAUUUUAUGACAAAUAACUCUAGAGCCUUGUCUAGUGAUUCGACCAUUGUCUCCUUGUAUGCAAGCCAAUGUUGCUCGGAGUUUACACACAUGGUCUUCCAACGAAUGUGCAUUUCAAAUCCCACAUUAUGCCUACCAUCAAACUCAACAACAUCACUUGGGUCCAUCCAAUUCAAAUAUUUUCGAACUUGUUCCAACAACUCGGCAUAGCUAGGACAACACUCAAACACCAUGUCAAGCUCAUCUGAGUCCGGAUCAAUAUUAUCUUUCAAAAAGGCAUACUUGUCCACGUGAUGAACAUAAACACAUGUUAUU